GACGAACCGUGCGAACGUUGUUCGGAAUCACUGGGCUUAAAGGGCGCGUAGGCGGGGCAGCAAGUCCGGGGUGAAAUCGUUCGGCUCAACCGAACCACUGCCUCGGAUACUGCUUCUCUCGAGGGGGGUAGGGGCAGCUGGAACUUCCGGUGGAGCGGUGAAAUGCGUUGAUAUCGGAAGGAACGCCGGUGGCGAAAGCGAGCUGCUGGACCUUUUCUGACGCUGAGGCGCGAAAGCCAGGGGAGCAAACGGG
RNAcentral lists this ribosomal RNA (253 nucleotides) under uncultured bacterium. RNAcentral's name for it is "partial 16S ribosomal RNA". It matches the Rfam family "Bacterial small subunit ribosomal RNA", at positions 524 to 776 of the family's 1533-position model. The record is from RNAcentral.